RNAcentral lists this ribosomal RNA (497 nucleotides) under uncultured bacterium. RNAcentral's name for it is "partial 16S ribosomal RNA". It matches the Rfam family "Bacterial small subunit ribosomal RNA", at positions 28 to 507 of the family's 1533-position model. The record is from RNAcentral.
GAUGAACGCUGGCGGCGUGCCUAAUACAUGCAAGUCGAGCGAACAGACGAGGAGCUUACUCCUCUGACGUUAGCGGCGGACGGGUGAGUAACACGUGGAUAACCUACCUAUAAGACUGGGAUAACUUCGGGAAACCGGAGCUAAUACCGGAUAACAUGUUGAACCGCAUGGUUCAACAGUGAAAGACGGUCUUGCUGUCACUUAUAGAUGGAUCCGCGUCGCAUUAGCUAGUUGGUAAGGUAACGGCUUACCAAGGCAACGAUGCGUAGCCGACCUGAGAGGGUGAUCGGCCACACUGGAACUGAGACACGGUCCAGACUCCUACGGGAGGCAGCAGUAGGGAAUCUUCCGCAAUGGGCGAAAGCCUGACGGAGCAACGCCGCGUGAGUGAAGAAGGUCUUCGGAUCGUAAAACUCUGUUGUUAGGGAAGAACAAAUGUGUAAGUAACUAUGCACGUCUUGACGGUACCUAAUCAGAAAGCCACGGCUAACUACGUG